This 1229-nucleotide long non-coding RNA is filed under the name Medicago truncatula (barrel medic). RNAcentral's name for it is "lncRNA gene232". Lineage: Eukaryota; Viridiplantae; Streptophyta; Magnoliopsida; Fabales; Fabaceae. The record is from RNAcentral.
CUGGACCACAGUAUUUGGUUUUCAUGCUUCUCCUUUGAACUGGAAACAUGGUAUUUGGUUUUCUGGGAGUAAUCCACAUGACUAUCCCUCUUACAGCCUUUAUUUUCCCGCUCUUCCUACUCCCUUCUGUGCUUUCUUUCUCCACGAUCAUCAUCAUCCCUUCUAUAAUGCCUUCUUUCUCCAUGACCAUCAUCAUCAUCCCUUCUGCUGCGCUUUCUCUCUCCAUGAUAAUCAUCGUCCCCUCUGUACUUUCUUUCCCCACGAACAUCCUCAUCCCUUGAGCUCUUUCUCUCUCUGUGAUCAUCAUCUUCCCUUGAGUUCCUUCUUACUUUGCGAUCAUCCUCUUCCCUUGAGUUCUUCCUUUCUUUGCGAUCAUCCUCAUACCUAGAGUUCUUUAUUUCUACACUGCCAUCCCCAUCCCUUUUGUUUUGUGCUUCUCUAUGACGACCCUCAUCCCUUGAGUGCUUUCUUUCUCCAAAAUCAUCUUCAUCCCUCAAGGUCUUUCUUCCUGUACGAUCAUCCUCAAUCCUUCUAGUCUUUGUUUCUCUAAGAUCAUCCCCAUCCCUAGAGCUCUUCUCUCGUCGGCCAUCGCCAUCCUGAGAGUUCUUUCUUUCUCCUCUGCCACCCUCAUCCCUUAAGUUCUUUCUUUCUCCGUAAUCAUCCCCAUCCCUAGAGCUCCUUUUCUCUCCACGGCCAUUGCCAUCCCUUAAGUUCUUCCUUUCUCCAUAAUCAUCCCCAUCCCUAGAGCUUCUUUUCUCUCCACGGACAUCGCCAUCCAGAGAGUUCUUUCUUUCUCUACUGCCAACAUCAUCCCUUAAGUUCUUUCUUUCUCCAUAAUCAUCCCCAUCCCUCAGUGACUUCCUUUCUGCAUGUUCAUCCUCAAUCCUUCUGAUCUUUCUUUCUCCGUGAUCAUCUUCAUCCCUCAAGUGCUUUCUUCCUGUAGGAUAAUCUUCAUCCUUUCCAUGCCUUCUCUCUCCACGAACAUCUUCAUCUCUUAAGCUUUUCUUCUCCCGGCGAUCUUCCUCGUCCCUUUUAUGCUUUCCAUCUCUUGAAUCAUCUUCAUUCCUUCCAUGUUUUUUUUCUUCAUGGUUAUCCUGAUCCCUUUUAUAAUCAUUAUCAUUUCUUCCCUUCCUUCUUGUUUCAUAAUCCUCCCUAUUCCGAUCAAUUCGUCCAACAGAUUGUGAUUCAACAUCCCUGUUAUAAUUUCUGCCUCUCUGAUCAGAAGUUUC